UGGGCGAAAGCCUGAUGCAGCAACGCCGCGUGAGUGAUGAAGGCCUUCGGGUUGUAAAGCUCUGUCUUUUGGGACGAUAAUGACGGUACCAAAGGAGGAAGCCACGGCUAACUACGUGCCAGCAGCCGCGGUAAUACGUAGGUGGCGAACGUUGUCCGGAUUUACUGGGCGUAAAGGAUGCGUAGGCGGAUUUUUAAGUGAGAUGUGAAAUACCCGGGCUUAACUUGGGUGCUGCAUUUCAAACUGGAAGUCUAGAGUGCGGGAGAGGAGAGUGGAAUUCCUAGUGUAGCGGUGAAAUGCGUAGAGAUUAGGAAGAACACCAGUGGCGAAGGCGACUCUCUGGACCGUAACUGACGCUGAGGCAUGAAAGCGUGGGUAGCAAACAGGAUUAGAUACCCUGGUAGUCCACGCCGUAAACGAUGAGUACUAGGUGUAGGAGGUAUCGACCCCUUCUGUGCCGCAGUUAACACAAUAAGUACUCCGCCUGGGAAGUAC
This 495-nucleotide ribosomal RNA is filed under the name uncultured bacterium. RNAcentral's name for it is "bacterial SSU rRNA". It matches the Rfam family "Bacterial small subunit ribosomal RNA", at positions 372 to 883 of the family's 1533-position model. The record is from RNAcentral.